CCACCUCCCACUCAGGACGGGGGGACGACGUCUCUUUCUUCUACGGCUCGAUAGCUGUUUUCGGGGUUUUUUACUCGAUUUCUCUCUGGGAGGUGGCGCUGUUCCUCUCGGAGAGAUAGGGAAACGAUUUUCGUUUGGGGGGUUCCAUUGUUCUUUUAUGCGAUUUGCGGGGGUUUUCGUCACGGUAUUCAAAUUGUGACCGUCUUGUAGAGGGGAUGCUAUUACAUUGCAACGUCGUGAUCCCGCUUUGAUUGAGAUAAUGGGGUCGGUGUGAUUUAAAUGUAAAAAAGAAUCGCUUAUUUUUAGUUAGUUUUUCUCCCGACAGGUGGUUCUGACGCCAAUCCAUAAUUCAAGGCCGACGAACUUCAACGCGGCCUUGGAUUGGAUUGAAAAACAAAACAAAAACAAAACAAGGCUGGCUGCUAAUCAAUCAACUGAAUCAAGGCAAGUUUAAAGAAAAAUGUAGUCAAAUUUUAAAUAAUGUAGGUAGUAUAAUCCUUUGAUUGUAAAUUAUUUUCCCUACUACGUAAAGCUGGUACAAUAGCCGUACGGUUUUUUAUAUACCGAAGAGCAUUCAUUCAUCAUGGAGUCCAGGAUGAUUUACGAUGUGAUGGUAGAACAAUGCUGGAUUACCACCCUAUAAUUCUUGAAACUACAUUAGUUUCCAAUGCCAGUGGAUCGGCAAGGCUGAGACUUGCAAACUCAACAACAUCUGGAAAAUGAAAUUUGCAAAUUCCUACAAAGAUCCUAUGCUUCAGCUGAUGUGAUAUUUCCACCAGUCCUGAUGUAUCAACACUGGUGCAGAGUCUACGACAAGCCUUGGCCCUUGAAGCUAAAUUCCAACCAAAGCUUCAACUUCUGUCAACACUCAACAGCCAGCAAUACAGGAGAAAGCGGUGAAAUUAUGUGUGCAAUGAGGGAUGGAGCUGCUCAUGUUCUUCGCUGCAUGAAAGUCUGGUAUGAUCUUCCUUAUGCAGUUCUUCUGGAUGCUCUCAACAUGAUGGACUGGUUCAUGAGCCGCAUGAAAGCACUCCUAAACACCUCUCAUGCAUAGCAAUCAGCUCCUUCCAUCUAGCAGCUUGCCAAUGGGUGGAGAGGAUUAAACAGAACAACAUUGAGGUAUCUUCCAUUCAGAGUCCAUUGUAGAUUGUUCCUGAACCUCAAUAUCUGGUAACGAUAUCUUAAUGUAAAUGUACCGCCGGAGACAUCAACCGGAUGGAAAAAAUUGUCUAAGCCAAGUUAGCUUGUCUACCCCAAGAAGAACCGGUCACGACCUUAAAAUUCCUCAACCUGUAUCACUCACUUCUCUCGACGACUUUACCUGCCGCUCUUCAGCAAGACCUUCUUAUUCUUUCAUGCAAGCAGGAGACCAUUUGCUGUGACGCAAAAUAAUGCUGCCUUUCCCUCAUCUCUUUUGGCUUUCGUCCUACUGUUUGUCGAAAUGAAGUGUCACCAGCCGGCCAUCGAGGUUAUUAUCAGAGACGUUUUACUAGAACUUCAGCGACUUGUUCAGGUCAAAGAUGACUAGUUGAAGGAGUGUAUAAGAAUGGUCACUUCGGAAAUGGCACCUUACGAUGGCUAUGCCCAAAGCAAUCCGUCUCAUCGUCAACGACUUACCUGGAAGUUGUCCUUUUUCUACUAUUUCUUUGCCUUCUAAACCAUUUAUAAUAAGUUUUGCCUUUAGUAAAGCAAAAUGCCUAGCUUUUUCUAGUCCUAUACCACUUACUUGUUGAGCCUGUGUAAAUUCGGGUCUCAGUGAUAUAUGAUUACCACUCUUAACAAGAAAACUAUAUAUUUCUUUACUCACUACAUCAGAAGUUUCUCCAAGUGUGCGGUCGAAAAUUUUAGUCGAAAUUCCCUUCAUAGAUAAGAGAAAUAAAGCCGUAAUUUCAUCCUAUAAACGUUCAAUUAAUCUAUCAAAAAUCUUAUCUUGUUUAGGGUGGUUAUUAACCUUAUAUGUUAUUUAUAUAAAUUUAAAUACUAUAAAUAAUGGUUCGAAAUUAACUGAAAAAAGCAACAAGACUUCUGUAUAAUUUUACAUAAUUUCGAUGUUACGUCAUGACGUCAUACGUCGAGUAUGACUUGAUAACCACCCGAAUCAGUAAGUAUCGGCUUUGACCUAUUCAUGAACUUAUGUAGCCCACAAUUAUAAAAGCAAAAUCUCCUGUCCUAUUUACAAUAAAUGCUUGAAUUGCCGCUUUA
This is a long non-coding RNA of Daphnia pulex (common water flea), 2202 nucleotides long. RefSeq lists it as uncharacterized. The transcript has 6 exons. NCBI's taxonomy places the organism in Eukaryota, Metazoa, Arthropoda, Branchiopoda, Diplostraca, Daphniidae. The record is from RefSeq and is a predicted model, not a curated record.